AGAAAUGGGUUUCUAUGUAGCGCAGAAUCUUCCUAUGUUUUAUCUCUCUUAAGCAAGCGGGCGCGUAAACACGGAUGUGAGAGAGAUUUUAUUAUAUCCGAUGGAGCGCAGGGCAUCUGGGAACUAUUAAACAAGACAAUCUCAGGAACUAUUAAAGUAUUUUAAACAUUUUUCGAAAAAUAUAAGGAACUGUGGUUCUAGCGGCAAAAACCUUACGGUUUUAGCGCGGCUAGAAUUUUAUGAUCUAAUAUCGGCAGAUUUGAUGUCUUAUUGUUAGUAUAAGAGUAUGUCACAUCUUGAAUAAAAAUAUGUCAUUGUAUUGAAGGCAGCUGGAAGGGCGUUAAUGAUAUGUGAACAUGGAGCGCCAAAACAAAUCUUCUCCACUCCUUCUCUGGCACCAGAGAUCAAACGUAUUGACCUAGAUAAAUGACUUGCACUGAUGAGUUGAUGCGGAAGGGUGACUGAGGCUAUUAAAUGGUGCCUUUUAAUAAUGUUUUCGAUUGGGAAAAAGUUAGUGCGUACCAGUGCAUACUCAGUUCACACGAGUUCCAUGGAUUGCACUGAAUAGUGCAAGUUCAAAAGAACACGCCAAGAUUUUCAGUGCUAAAGCUGAAAUGCCAUUUUAAGUUGUAAGAUUGUAAGGACUUGACUAGACUGCAGGAAGAACGCAGAAAAAUAACCUCGAUAUCUCAUGUUCAUAACUUUAACCACUGAUUGUAUUAGUUGUUGGAUGUCAUUACGAAAUAGAUUUUCUAAAGAACGUGCCAAAAAGACACUCUCAGGAUCAGCUACACAAACGGAAUGGCCGUUAAUGAAAUGUGUGAUUCGACUCUACGCUUUUCUAAAUCUUAUUGCAAAAGAAUAAAAUAAAAACAGUAAUAACAAGCCAAUAAAACCUAUUGAUUUAACACAUGAUAAAAAUGCUGUUGAUCAAAACAAUGCUGAUCAGUCAAAAACAUUUGUAUGGCCGGACAAAGCAGUAUUAUUAUUAAUCGAAUUAUAUAGAGAAAGAGAGGAAGAAUUUUCAAAUGGUUUUAAGCGCAGCAACAAAAUUUGGGCUGAAAUUGCAGCUCAGAUAGAGGAAACUAAUUCAGCUUAUAACAUAACAGCACUUUAGUGUUCGUCCAAAAUGUCCAGCUUGAAGCGGACAUACAAAAAUAUUAUUGAUUUGAAUAAGAAAAGUGGCAAUCAUAAAAAUA
Molecule: long non-coding RNA, 1199 nt
Organism: Acromyrmex echinatior (Panamanian leafcutter ant)
Lineage: Eukaryota; Metazoa; Arthropoda; Insecta; Hymenoptera; Formicidae
Source: RefSeq, a predicted model, not a curated record